RNAcentral lists this ribosomal RNA (415 nucleotides) under uncultured bacterium. Its description in RNAcentral is "bacterial SSU rRNA". It matches the Rfam family "Bacterial small subunit ribosomal RNA", at positions 355 to 794 of the family's 1533-position model. The record is from RNAcentral.
UAGGGAAUAUUGGACAAUGGGUGCGAGCCUGAUCCAGCCAUGCCGCGUGCAGGAAGACGGCCUCUGGGUUGUAAACUGCUUUUAUUUGGGGAUAGGUACCAGAUGAAUAAGCCACGGCUAACUACGUGCCAGCAGCCGCGGUAAUACGUAGGUGGCAAGCGUUGUCCGGAUUUAUUGGGUUUAAAGGGUGCGUAGGCGGCGAUUUAAGUCAGUGGUGAAAUACGGCAGCUCAACUGUCGAGGUGCCAUUGAUACUGGAUUGCUUGAGUACUGAUGAGGUAGGCGGAAUGGACGGUGUAGCGGUGAAAUGCAUAGAUAUCGAUCGGAACGCCGAAGGUGUAGACGGGCAGCUGGGCCAGUGUUGACGCUGAGGCACGAAAGCGUGGGGAUCAAACAGGAUUAGAUACCCGGGUAGU